Molecule: long non-coding RNA, 1371 nt
Filed under: Anser brachyrhynchus (Pink-footed goose)
Lineage: Eukaryota; Metazoa; Chordata; Aves; Anseriformes; Anatidae
Description: lncRNA (ENSABRG00000019472.1)
Source: RNAcentral
CGGGGCUCCUGGUUUUGAAUGAUUUUGCAGUUGCCUUUUAUCCUUCUCAUAGUUGAAAGAUGUGACUUUUGUUUUAUUCUGGUCUGGUUCUUUGCUACCGUGUCCCACAGGAGAUGAGAAUAAGGUUUUUCUCCUCUCGCUGCCUCCAGCCUGCAUCCCAGCACAGCCCAUCAUCCAGUGCCGCAGUGACCGUGUGCUGUCUGCUCUUUUGUUCUCUUCUGCGUGCUCUUCCCAGAGAGCUAGCUGGGUAUUUAAAAGAAGACUUCAUGAUAGACCAAAACAUUGAUGGGAAUUUGGAUUUAUCUUGUUAAUUCUUGGGUUUAGGAAAAAUAACGAAGGGGCAUUUUUAUUUGAGAUGCGUUGGUUGGUUCAGCAGAAAAUCAAAAAGCUUAAUCAUCAAAGCUCCGUAAUCCCAGAAAGCUGAUGUUUUUCUUGUUUUCUUCUUUCCUCGCUUAUGCUGGUUGCUGGUCCUAAUGCCAAGAUAUGUCUACAGCAAUUAAAUCUGCACACAUUUUUUUCAUUUGAAGCUGUUGCUUACAAACAAUUGAUUUAGGUUGCAUGUUCUCUAUGUCUGGGCUCCAGUCCCAGUAAGAUGUACCAGGCAGCAAGGACUGGAACCUUCCAGAUAGAUAUACCCAUUCUGCUUAAGAAUGAGAAACCAUUUAAAGAAAAUUAAAAAAAAAAAAAAAAAAGGCCUGGCCAAAACAUGUCCCAGCCUUUGGGAGAAGCAGGGGAAAGCAAGACGUGGGCACUCCAGCUGGAAGCAUUCCUGGAAUGUGCCUUGCGCCAGCGCCGCUGCCAGCGGGGGCAAGGAGUGGGGCUGGCCCCCCAGGGACAUGCGGCAACCAAAGUUUAUCUUUUGGGAGCAGGAGGGAGCCUUUUCUGGCAGCUUUCUCAUAGAGGGCAAUAUUCGGAGAGUGCUCAGAGCUUUGCUGAGCUGCCCCAGCUGAAUGCGCUUGGCAGAUGCUCGGUGCACAACGCCUGUUCCAGGGCUCGGAGGACACGAGGUGUCUCGCUCACAGCAGAGCCAGCCCCGUCCCGCAGCAGCAUCACUGUGAUCCAAUGUGGCACAAGCUUCAGUUACAUGCCUUGGAACAAGUAAGAGACCCUGUUUGCACCUGCAGAAGAGAUGGUCCACCUGCUGCGCUGCUGGCUCACCUGUGGGAGCUCAGGGGUGUUGGUGCAUCUGGAUGUCUGAGGUUGCUGCUCACAUUCAGGUGGGUGAUGGCCUGUAUUCUCUGUAUAAUACUGGUAGCAGGACUAGCUUUAGUUCUUCUUGUUCUCAGGAACACACAGCUUCAGAGAUGUUUUACUGGGAUGUUAUAGGCAGAGGGAAGGAAUUUGUGCUGAGUGAAGUUUCACUGACCCAGC